GAUGAACGCUGGCGGCGUGCCUAAUACAUGCAAGUCGAGCGAACAGACGAGGAGCUUGCUCCUCUGACGUUAGCGGCGGACGGGUGAGUAACACGUGGAUAACCUGCCUAUAAGACUGGGAUAACUUCGGGAAACCGGAGCUAAUACCGGAUAAUAUAUUGAACCGCAUGGUUCAAUAGUGAAAGACGGUUUUGCUGUCACUUAUAGAUGGAUCCGCGCCGCAUUAGCUAGUUGGUAAGGUAACGGCUUACCAAGGCAACGAUGCGUAGCCGACCUGAGAGGGUGAUCGGCCACACUGGAACUGAGACACGGUCCAGACUCCUACGGGAGGCAGCAGUAGGGAAUCUUCCGCAAUGGGCGAAAGCCUGACGGAGCAACGCCGUGUGAGUGAUGAAGGUCUUCGGAUCGUAAAACUCUGUUAUUAGGGAAGAACAAAUGUGUAAGUAACUAUGCACGUCUUGACGGUACCUAAUCAGAAAGCCACGGCUAACUACGUG
Molecule: ribosomal RNA, 497 nt
Filed under: uncultured bacterium
Lineage: Bacteria
Description: partial 16S ribosomal RNA
Rfam family: Bacterial small subunit ribosomal RNA
Source: RNAcentral